CAGAAAGAGAAACUUCCAUUGCUAACAUGAAGCCAAAUUGUCCUAAACAUAGCAAGCGAUUUUUGCAGCAACGCUGCUGCCGCUGGAACUGAACCUGAAGAACUCAAAUGCGGGCGGUGGAUUAUUUCUUAUCCCUCCUCCAUCUACCCCACACAAGAGCUGCUUUUUGUUCCUCUUUUUGCCAAGUUCCAAGGAGUCUUGAGACUUCUCUUCUUUUGGUGUGGAUUCCGGAACUCCUUUCUGAAGCAAGAGGCAAAUAUCUCUCAGCAGAGAAUGCCAAGACCAAUCACUUAACCAUGGCAAUCUUACUCAGCAUGGUAAUUCCCACCCUGAUGGUCCCAAGAUGGCUGCAGCAGUUUCAGCCAUGUUAUCCUAAUCCACCAACAUCUGGAGGUAUCUGUCUUUUCAAUCUCCAUCUAUUACAAAUGUAGGAUACUUUUACCAGAAGGUCCUCCUCUAGACUACUACUCAUGUUUCAUUGGACAAAUUUGGUCCCAUGGAAUUUCUUAAGUCAUUUACUGAUGAGGAAAGUGGAAUUAUCAUGACUGGAUUAGACUACCUAAGAUUCACCACUCCUGAGCCUGGAGAAAGAUAAUUUUCUCAGAGCAAACAACUGCAUAUGGCUGAAGAUAGGAAUGAACUAUAAAACAAAAUUGGAGUCCUCCAGGAAAGAAAGGGGGAAUUAAAGGGAAAUGAUUGUGUAGGCAAAACACAAUAGUCUCCAAUGCCAAAUAAACUUUGUUUUGUUACUCUCUC
This 756-nucleotide long non-coding RNA is filed under the name Homo sapiens (human). RNAcentral's name for it is "long non-coding RNA NONHSAT195526.1". The record is from RNAcentral. Lineage: Eukaryota; Metazoa; Chordata; Mammalia; Primates; Hominidae.